Molecule: ribosomal RNA, 759 nt
Filed under: uncultured Porphyromonas sp.
Lineage: Bacteria; Pseudomonadati; Bacteroidota; Bacteroidia; Bacteroidales; Porphyromonadaceae
Description: bacterial SSU rRNA
Rfam family: Bacterial small subunit ribosomal RNA
Source: RNAcentral
GAUGAACGCUAGCGAUAGGCUUAACACAUGCAAGUCGAGGGGCAGCAUGAUCUUAGCUUGCUAAGGUCGAUGGCGACCGGCGCACGGGUGCGUAACGCGUAUGCAACUUGCCUUACAGAGGGGGAUAACCCGUUGAAAGACGGACUAAAACCGCAUACACUUGUAUUAUUGCAUGAUAUUACAAGGAAAUAUUUAUAGCUGUAAGAUAGGCAUGCGUCCCAUUAGCUGGUUGGCGAGGUAACGGCUCACCAAGGCGACGAUGGGUAGGGGAACUGAGAGGUUUAUCCCCCACACUGGUACUGAGACACGGACCAGACUCCUACGGGAGGCAGCAGUGAGGAAUAUUGGUCAAUGGGCGAGAGCCUGAACCAGCCAAGUCGCGUGAAGGAAGACAGUCCUAAGGAUUGUAAACUUCUUUUAUACGGGAAUAACGGGCGAUACGAGUAUUGCAUUGAAUGUACCGUAAGAAUAAGCAUCGGCUAACUCCGUGCCAGCAGCCGCGGUAAUACGGAGGAUGCGAGCGUUAUCCGGAUUUAUUGGGUUUAAAGGGUGCGUAGGUUGUUCGGUAAGUCAGCGGUGAAACCUGAGCGCUCAACGUUCAGCCUGCCGUUGAAACUGCCGGGCUUGAGUUCAGUGGCGGCAGGCGGAAUUCGUGGUGUAGCGGUGAAAUGCAUAGAUAUCACGAGGAACUCCGAUUGCGAAGGCAGCUUGCCAUACUGCGACUGACACUGAAGCACGAAGGCGUGGGUAUCAAACAGG